GAGUUUGAUCUUGGCUCAGAACGAACGCUGGCGGCAUGCCUAACACAUGCAAGUCGAACGAACUCUUCGGAGUUAGUGGCGCACGGGUGCGUAACGCGUGGGAAUCUGCCCUUGGGUACGGAAUAACUCAGAGAAAUUUGUGCUAAUACCGUAUAAUGACUUCGGUCCAAAGAUUUAUCGCCCAAGGAUGAGCCCGCGUAAGAUUAGCUAGUUGGUGGGGUAAAGGCCUACCAAGGCUACGAUCUUUAGCUGGUCUGAGAGGAUGAUCAGCCACACUGGGACUGAGACACGGCCCAGACUCCUACGGGAGGCAGCAGUGGGGAAUAUUGGACAAUGGGCGAAAGCCUGAUCCAGCAAUGCCGCGUGAGUGAUGAAGGCCUUAGGGUUGUAAAGCUCUUUUACCCGGGAUGAUAAUGACAGUACCGGGAGAAUAAGCUCCGGCUAACUCCGUGCCAGCCGCCGCCGUAAC
RNAcentral lists this ribosomal RNA (469 nucleotides) under uncultured microorganism. RNAcentral's name for it is "bacterial SSU rRNA". It matches the Rfam family "Bacterial small subunit ribosomal RNA", at positions 9 to 524 of the family's 1533-position model. The record is from RNAcentral.